GAUGAACGCUGGCGGUGUGCCUAAUACAUGCAAGUCGAGCGAACAGACGAGGAGCUUACUCCUCUGACGUUAGCGGCGGACGGGUGAGUAACACGUGGAUAACCUACCUAUAAGACUGGGAUAACUUCGGGAAACCGGAGCUAAUACCGUAUAACAUGUUGAACCGCAUGGUUCAACAGUGAAAGACGGUCUUGCUGUCACUUAUAGCUGGAUCCGCGUCGCAUUAGCUAGUUGGUAAGGUAACGGCUUACCAAGGCAACGAUGCGUAGCCGACCUGAGAGGGUGAUCGGCCACACUGGAACUGAGACACGGUCCAGACUCCUACGGGAGGCAGCAGUAGGGAAUCUUCCGCAAUGGGCGAAAGCCUGACGGAGCAACGCCGCGUGAGUGAAGAAGGUCUUCGGAUCGUAAAACUCUGUUAUUAGGGAAGAACAAAUGUGUAGGUAACUAUGCACGUCUUGACGGUACCUAAUCAGAAAGCCACGGCUAACUACGUG
Molecule: ribosomal RNA, 497 nt
Filed under: uncultured bacterium
Lineage: Bacteria
Description: partial 16S ribosomal RNA
Rfam family: Bacterial small subunit ribosomal RNA
Source: RNAcentral